This is a long non-coding RNA of Lolium perenne, 776 nucleotides long. RefSeq lists it as uncharacterized. The record is from RefSeq and is a predicted model, not a curated record. Lineage: Eukaryota; Viridiplantae; Streptophyta; Magnoliopsida; Poales; Poaceae.
GAAUGCACACCCACAUCAGCCGCCUCCUGCACGUCCGCUGCUCCACAUCUUCGCUGCAGGCUGCAGCUCGAUGAUUCGUGCUCUGUGCAGGGCGGGUACCCUUGGCCUCACUCUCGGGCUCUGAAAACCAAGACAAGGAACACAUUGCUGAAUGCUCUACGAGAUCAUAAAACAAAGACCCUACGAGGGUAAAGAAAAUGUAUGUGCGUUAGGAAGUUGGCUGAUACUAGAUCUUCUCAUUACGUCAAUCAGUCAACUGUAUUGAGUCGAAGGCAUUAGUGACGCAUUAGAGUAGUUAGCAUCAAAGAGGGCCAACAGACAUAGUUGGAUACAAUGAGGAGGAACAGGUUUGUGUUGUAUUAUAGAUGCUAUUGAGAAUACCUGUUUCAGUAAUAAUGACACACACCGUUAUUGCUUUAUUUAACAGGAAGUUGUAUUCGGGGUUAUAACCUUUGUACUUCAUAUUGGAAAUAUAACAUUUGCCAAGAGAACAUAAGUUGAUUCAUUUGUGCUUAAGGAUGAUAACUCCAGUUUCACCUUAACACUGCAGCAGAACUACUGGAGUGAGCAUAUUUUUUCCUUUCAAAAAGCCCUGAAGAAGUUUUUACUAGAAGGAGUCUGCACUGCACUUGCUAGCUGAGAUGAAUUAGCCAAAACACUAUACUCCCGAUUGUUUGAUUGUUACGGUGAACUCUUGAGUGUUAUAUGCCAACUUAGAAGGUUAAGAACCAAGUGCAUAAGAGCUUUGUGAGGGCCGGAGGAAGCACAACUUGCUA